GACGAACCGUACGAACGUUAUUCGGAAUCACUGGGCUUAAAGGGUGCGUAGGCUGCGCGGAAAGUUGGGUGUGAAAUCCCUCGGCUCAACCGAGGAACUGCGCCCAAAAACUGCCGUGCUCGAGGGAGACAGAGGUGAGCGGAACUUAGGGUGGAGCGGUGAAAUGCGUUGAUAUCCUAAGGAACACCGGUGGCGAAAGCGGCUCACUGGGUCUCUUCUGACGCUGAGGCACGAAAGCUAGGGUAGCGAACGGG
RNAcentral lists this ribosomal RNA (254 nucleotides) under uncultured bacterium. RNAcentral's name for it is "partial 16S ribosomal RNA". It matches the Rfam family "Bacterial small subunit ribosomal RNA", at positions 524 to 776 of the family's 1533-position model. The record is from RNAcentral.